This 271-nucleotide ribosomal RNA is filed under the name uncultured bacterium. RNAcentral describes it as "partial 16S ribosomal RNA". It matches the Rfam family "Bacterial small subunit ribosomal RNA", at positions 524 to 777 of the family's 1533-position model. The record is from RNAcentral.
UACAGAGGGUGCAAGCGUUGUUCGGAAUUAUUGGGCGUAAAAGGGUGCGUAGGCGGUGCGGUAAGUCUGUACGUGAAAUCUACCUGGGACUCAACUCAAGUGAGUUCUGCGUAAGUAGAAACUGCCGUGCUUGAGUGUGGGAGAGGUGAGUGGAAUUCCCGGUGUAGCGGUGAAAUGCGCAGAUAUCGGGAGGAACACCAGUAGCGAAGGCGGACACUCUGGGCCGUGGACUGAACGCUGAGGAGCGAAAGCGAUGGGUACGCAACGAGGA